UACGUAGGGUGCAAGCGUUAAUCGGAAUUACUGGGCGUAAAGCGUGCGCAGGCGGUGAUGUAAGACAGUUGUGAAAUCCCCGGGCUCAACCUGGGAACUGCAUCUGUGACUGCAUCGCUGGAGUGCGGCAGAGGGGGAUGGAAUUCCGCGUGUAGCAGUGAAAUGCGUAGAUAUGCGGAGGAACACCGAUGGCGAAGGCAAUCCCCUGGGCCAACACUGACGCUCAUGCACGAAAGCGUGGGGAGCAAACAGG
RNAcentral lists this ribosomal RNA (253 nucleotides) under uncultured bacterium. RNAcentral describes it as "partial 16S ribosomal RNA". It matches the Rfam family "Bacterial small subunit ribosomal RNA", at positions 524 to 776 of the family's 1533-position model. The record is from RNAcentral.